This 468-nucleotide ribosomal RNA is filed under the name uncultured bacterium. RNAcentral describes it as "partial 16S ribosomal RNA". It matches the Rfam family "Bacterial small subunit ribosomal RNA", at positions 28 to 507 of the family's 1533-position model. The record is from RNAcentral.
GACGAACGCUGGCGGCGUGCUUAACACAUGCAAGUCGAACGGAAAGGCCCUGCUUUUGUGGGGUGCUCGAGUGGCGAACGGGUGAGUAACACGUGAGUAACCUGCCCUUGACUUUGGGAUAACUUCAGGAAACUGGGGCUAAUACCGGAUAGGAGCUCCUGCUGCAUGGUGGGGGUUGGAAAGUUUCGGCGGUUGGGGAUGGACUCGCGGCUUAUCAGCUUGUUGGUGGGGUAGUGGCUUACCAAGGCUUUGACGGGUAGCCGGCCUGAGAGGGUGACCGGCCACGUUGGGACUGAGAUACGGACCGGACUCCUACGGGAGGCAGAAGUGGGGAAUAGUGCACAAUGGGCGGAAGCCUGAUGCAGCAACGCCGCGUGCGGGAUGACGGCCUUCGGGUUGUAAACCGCUUUCGCCUGUGACGAAGCGUGAGUGACGGUAAUGGGUAAAGAAGCACCGGCUAACUACGUG